UACGAAGGGGGCUAGCGUUGCUCGGAAUUAUUGGGCGUAAAGGGUAGGUAGGUGGUCUCAUUUGUCUGGGGUGAAAGCCUUGAGCUUAACUCAAGAAGUGCCCCAGAAACGGUGAGACUAGAGUCCUGGAGAGGGUCGUGGAAUUCCCGGUGUAGCGGUGAAAUGCGUAGAGAUCGGGAGGAACACCAGAGGCGAAAGCGGCGACCUGGACAGGUACUGACACUCAACUACGAAAGCGUGGGGAGCAAACAGG
This 253-nucleotide ribosomal RNA is filed under the name uncultured bacterium. RNAcentral describes it as "partial 16S ribosomal RNA". It matches the Rfam family "Bacterial small subunit ribosomal RNA", at positions 524 to 776 of the family's 1533-position model. The record is from RNAcentral.